This 465-nucleotide ribosomal RNA is filed under the name uncultured bacterium. Its description in RNAcentral is "partial 16S ribosomal RNA". It matches the Rfam family "Bacterial small subunit ribosomal RNA", at positions 339 to 795 of the family's 1533-position model. The record is from RNAcentral.
CUACGGGUCGCAGCAGUGGGGAAUAUUGGACAAUGGGGGAAACCCUGAUCCAGCAAUGCCGCGUGUGUGAAGAAGGCCUGCGGGUUGUAAAGCACUUUCGGUUGGGAGGACUGCUUCUAGCACUAAUAUUGUUGGAAGUUGACGUUACCUUCAGAAGAAGCACCGGCUAACUCCGUGCCAGCAGCCGCGGUAAUACGGAGGGGGCAAGCGUUAAUCGGAAUUACUGGGCGUAAAGCGCGGGUAGGCGGCUAGAUCAGUCGGGUGUGAAAGCCCCGGGCUUAACCUGGGAACUGCAUCCGAUACUGUCUAUCUUGAGUACAGGAGAGGAGAGUGGAAUUCCACAUGUAGCGGUGAAAUGCGUAGAUAUGUGGAGGAACACCAAUGGCGAAGGCAGCUCUCUGGCCUGAUACUGACGCUGAGGUGCGAAAGCGUGGGGAGCAAACAGGAUUAGAUACCCUAGUAGUC